RNAcentral lists this ribosomal RNA (694 nucleotides) under uncultured bacterium. RNAcentral's name for it is "bacterial SSU rRNA". It matches the Rfam family "Bacterial small subunit ribosomal RNA", at positions 94 to 801 of the family's 1533-position model. The record is from RNAcentral.
AGCGGCGGACGGGUGAGUAACGCGUGAGCAACUUUCCUUUCACAGGGGGAUAACGCAGCGAAAGCUGUGCUAAUACCGCAUGAGACUACAGAGCUACAUGGCUUAGAGAGUCAAAGGAGCAUUCCGGUGAAGGGUGGGCUCGCGUCUGAUUAGCUAGUUGGUGAGGUAACGGCCCACCAAGGCGACGAUCAGUAGCCGACCUGAGAGGGUGAUCGGCCACACUGGGACUGAGACACGGCCCAGACUCCUACGGGAGGCAGCAGUGGGGAAUAUUGGGCAAUGGGGGAAACCCUGACCCAGCAACGCCGCGUGAGGGAAGAAGGUUUUCGGAUUGUAAACCUCUGUCCUUGGUGAAGAGAAGAAGACGGUAGCCAAGGAGGAAGCCCCGGCUAACUACGUGCCAGCAGCCGCGGUAAUACGUAGGGGGCGAGCGUUGUCCGGAAUGAUUGGGCGUAAAGGGCGCGUAGGCGGCCUGUUAAGUCUGGAGUGAAAGUCCCGCUUUUAAGGUGGGAAUUGCUUUGGAAACUGGCGGGCUUGAGUGCAGGAGAGGUUAGUGGAAUUCCCGGUGUAGCGGUGAAAUGCGUAGAGAUCGGGAGGAACACCAGUGGCGAAGGCGACUAACUGGACUGUAACUGACGCUGAGGCGCGAAAGUGUGGGGAGCAAACAGGAUUAGAUACCCUGGUAGUCCACACG